CCAAUAGCGUAUAUUAAAGUUGUUGCAGUUAAAAAGCUCGUAGUUGAAUUUCAGGCCUGGCUGGACGGUCCGCCCUUCGGGUGAGUACUGUCUGUGGUCGGGUCCUACCUUCUGGCGAAGCGUCAUGGCCUUAACCGGCCGUGGCGGGGAACCAGGACUUUUACUGUGAAAAAAUUAGAGUGUUCAAACCAGGCAAUCGCCUGGAUCCAUUAGCAUGGAAUAAUGUGAUAGGACAAUGGUUUUAUUUGUUGGUUUCUAGGACCGUUGUAAUGAUUAAUAGGGAUAGUUGGGGGCAUUAGUAUUCAAUUGUCAGAGGUGAAAUUCUUGGAUUUAUUGAAGACUAACUACUGCGAAAGCAUUUGCCAAGGAUGUUUUCAUUAAUCAAGAACGAAAGUUAGGGGAUCGAAGACGAUCAGAUACCGUCGUAGUCUUAACCAUAAACUAUGCCGACUAGGGAUCGGACGAUGUUAAUUUUUUAAUGACUCGUUCGGCGCCUUACG
Molecule: ribosomal RNA, 500 nt
Filed under: uncultured Glomeromycotina
Lineage: Eukaryota; Fungi; Glomeromycota
Description: partial small subunit ribosomal RNA
Rfam family: Eukaryotic small subunit ribosomal RNA
Source: RNAcentral